UUCUCUUGUUGUAAGGAACUUGUGUUUCCUUGGUUGAAGUCUUGGAGUGUAGUAACUCCGAGUAAAGGUGUUGAGGCUUGCGUCCUCAAGUUGUAAAGGUUUGUUAAGAACCCGGAAGCUUGACAAGUUAGUGGAAAAUCUCGAUAGAGUCUCUCGGGGACUGGACUAGCCACACGUUGUGGUAAAUCAGGAUAUAUCUGUGUGUAAG
This 208-nucleotide long non-coding RNA is filed under the name Nicotiana benthamiana. Its description in RNAcentral is "long non-coding RNA (NBEN_LNC000269)". The record is from RNAcentral. Lineage: Eukaryota; Viridiplantae; Streptophyta; Magnoliopsida; Solanales; Solanaceae.